Molecule: ribosomal RNA, 465 nt
Filed under: Vreelandella stevensii
Lineage: Bacteria; Pseudomonadati; Pseudomonadota; Gammaproteobacteria; Oceanospirillales; Halomonadaceae
Description: partial 16S ribosomal RNA
Rfam family: Bacterial small subunit ribosomal RNA
Source: RNAcentral
CCUACGGGCGGCAGCAGUGGGGAAUAUUGGACAAUGGGCGAAAGCCUGAUCCAGCCAUGCCGCGUGUGUGAAGAAGGCCUUCGGGUUGUAAAGCACUUUCAGUGGGGAAGAAAGCCUUGGGGCUAAUACCCUCGAGGAAGGACAUCACCCACAGAAGUAGCACCGGCUAACUCCGUGCCAGCAGCCGCGGUAAUACGGAGGGUGCGAGCGUUAAUCGGAAUUACUGGGCGUAAAGCGCGCGUAGGCGGUCUGAUAAGCCGGUUGUGAAAGCCCCGGGCUCAACCUGGGAACGGCAUCCGGAACUGUCAGGCUAGAGUGCAGGAGAGGAAGGUAGAAUUCCCGGUGUAGCGGUGAAAUGCGUAGAGAUCGGGAGGAAUACCAGUGGCGAAGGCGGCCUUCUGGACUGACACUGACGCUGAGGUGCGAAAGCGUGGGUAGCAAACAGGAUUAGAUACCCGGGUAGUC